Alligator mississippiensis (American alligator) is the source of this 2457-nucleotide long non-coding RNA. RefSeq lists it as uncharacterized. The record is from RefSeq and is a predicted model, not a curated record. NCBI's taxonomy places the organism in Eukaryota, Metazoa, Chordata, Crocodylia, Alligatoridae. The transcript is spliced from 2 exons.
GCACACACUGGCAAAUGAGAAAAAAACCCCGUAAAUAAUGUAGCAGUAUUUAUAAGAAAGUAGUAUAUUAAUGCAACACUUUUAAACCAGUAAAAUUGCUUUUGAGUUUGUCAUGUACAACAAUAGCAAUGGAGUUAGCCAUUUUAAGUCUGAUUUUUUUUUUUUUUCCCUUGAACAAAUGUAGUAAGUUUUUCAAAAGCAGCCAUGGAUUCUGAGUCAUCCCUUGAGAUCCCUUCAAUCUGCUAUUUGGAGAUGAAAAUGGAGAGUUCAACUAUUCUGCUUUCCUGGCUGCUUCAACUGUGCAAUUGUUAUUCCUCUGUAAUAGUGCUUCUUUGCCUACUCGUUUCAAGCAAAGAAUAAAAGUCAAGUAAUACUAACAGGACAAUGUAAUACUUUCAUUCAACAGCUGGAAUUACGGAAGACAGAAUUAAUCUUUGCAUAGCAGCACACUGCUCAAAAGGUGUUGUUCAGGUUUACAGUUUCAUGUUUAACAGAUUAAAUCCCAAAUGAGACAUACAGUUGGAGGUGUGUAAGAUAUUUCAGUGUAGAGUCCUUGACAGCUGAGAAGCUAAGGUUUUAGGAAGCUCUUUUUGAUAUGAAACUUCUUUUCCUCAAAACAGCUAAUAUGAACUCUCUCUCUCGCACUCUCUCAUUCAAGUGAAACAGUGUUUUUAUCCUAAUUGACAGCUGUUUCUAUGUUAAUGCAAUACUAGGGCCUGAGUGUGUUACUCAUAUUUGCAAUAAAUGAGUGCUUACCCAAGUCAGUCACUGAAACCAGCAGUGCUGCUAAGUGCUCUCCUAUGGGAGUUUAUACAAUCAAGCCCUUAAUGAACAUUCUGGCAAAUUUCCCCUUUAAAUUUCUUUUACUGGAACAACACUCUUGCUAUUGAACUAGGUCAUUAAAAGUAGCAUCCCUUUAUGGUAACUUGACCAUGGGAACAGUCAUUUCAUUCUACAUCCUCUUCACAGGUACGUUGCCUGUGUACUGGACCAUUGCGGAAGCUACUAAAAUAAGCGGAAGCUCUAACUGCAUAAAAACCAUGGAGCUGGGCACUUUAAUUUUGUGGGGGGAAUAAUCAGGGUAAUUUCUACACUGUUUAUUCUCCUCUCUUUGAAGUUUCUUUCCAAAAUGUAUUUCACCAUCCUUUAUUUAACUUAGACUUUUUUAUUUAGAUAAAAUACAAGAUUAUCAUUUUUUAUUAAAUACUUGUAUGAAACAAAAUCAAAAGGCUUUUAUUUCAGUGUCUUUUAGUGACUGUGUUCUGCUCUGCUGUGAAACAUAAUUAUGUGGUUUCCUAAUCAUCAGCUCACCAGUAAGAGUCAUAAUAAGGCGCCUGUUACAUUACAGAAAAGCUUUUUACUAUCUUAAUCUUAUUUUUGUUUUCAACGCACAUUGUGUUCUGAUACAACAAAGCAUGGCAGAACACUUUCCUUGGAGUAACACUAUAAAUUACUAAUGCACUUGUGAAUGCUGUCUUUCAGUGAUCUGUGCAUGUUAAGUCUCAGACUUCCAAGCUGUUAGGAAGUUAAAAAUGUUUUACACACUUUUAUUUUAUAUGUGUAUUACCAGAAUUUUACAGCUUCAUGGCAUUGGUAGCAGGAAUUAUAUCAUCAUAUUUAGUCACCCACAGAUAUAUCUCUUUAUGCUCAGUUACUUUGUUUUGCUUUUAAUUGCUUGUUCAUUUUCACUGCUAAUAUACAUUUGAAAUAGAUAAAAAAUAUGAAGUUGUCAAACUUCUCCUAUGUGCUUCCUAUUGACAUGUCCCAGAUGGCCAGAUCCAGCUCCCAUUGAAAUCAGUGGCAAAGAUCCUACUGGAUUUAAUGGGAACAGGACCAGACCCUAAAUGGAAACAGUUAUACAAUAUUAAUUGCUUAGUUGGAAAGUAUAGCUCUGCAGUGAAGCCUCUGUGCACAUUUAUGUAGUAUGACAAAGAUUUUCAUCUCCUCCUCACACAAUUUGUAAAGAUUGGGUAUGCUAACCACUUCCAAAUUAAAUUCUAACCUUGCAUUUGAUGACAACCAGUUAAGUCUUUCAUACUGUAUAAAAGCUAUACUUGCAGCCAAGAAUUUGAACAGUACUAUAGUUUAUUUCAGCAAAGGGUCGUUACCUCAUCUCAAAACAGCAUUACACUAUUAUAAAUGUGCAACAAGUGUGUUGAGUGUUAUUCACUGACCAAUACAUUCAGGGAACGGUUCUGUGUCUAUCUGAAAGACUCAUUUUAUCUGUCUGUUCAGCCUUCAGAUUUUUCCUUCCCUAUCACCCAUUCACUUGGCUUUUGUGUGUAAUGGCAGAUUACCUUAUGAAAAGCAAAUCCUGUUGUUGAACUUGAUUAUUUUUCCUUGUAACACUAAAUUGCUGGCACUGAUGUAUUCAUAAUCAACAUAUAUAUUGUAGUGUAGAAUAUGUUUACUUUAGAUGAAAUAUUUAGGCUAAAUAAAAGAUGAAUAUUUAAUAUA